Molecule: ribosomal RNA, 107 nt
Filed under: Pogona vitticeps (central bearded dragon)
Lineage: Eukaryota; Metazoa; Chordata; Lepidosauria; Squamata; Agamidae
Source: RNAcentral
UUCUGCUACCCUAAACACACUUAUUCUCUCUGAUUCCAGAAGCUAAGCAGGAUCAGGUUUGUUAGUAGCUGGAUGGGAGACCACCAGGAAAGAAUCUUGCCCCAAAC